GAGGUUUGCCAGACUGCCGCUGGUGCAAUGCCGGAAACGGGGCACUGGAGGAAAGUCCGGACUGCACAGGGCGGCGUAGCAGCUAACGGCUGUCCACCGAUGGCGCGGCGCGCAAGCGCGGCGCAGCAGGUGAGGAUCAGAGCAACAGAGACGAGUCGGGGCGGGGCAACCUGCCACGGGUGAAACGGGCAAUCUCUACGCGCAGCAAUACCAAGUAGGCAUGCGCCGGCCGCAGCGGUUCGCCGCGGCGGCCUGACCGGGGCCCCCGGAGCAUGCGGGUAGGUAGCACCGAGCCGCCGGGUGACCGGCGGCCCAGAUCAAUGGCAGUCACGCUGCGGGCGACCGCGGCGCACAGAAUCCGGCUUAUCGGCAGGCUUCACAA
RNAcentral lists this RNase P RNA (382 nucleotides) under Rhodoferax sp. Its description in RNAcentral is "RNase P RNA component class A". It matches the Rfam family "Bacterial RNase P class A". Rfam says of the family: Ribonuclease P (RNase P) is a ubiquitous endoribonuclease, found in archaea, bacteria and eukarya as well as chloroplasts and mitochondria. Lineage: Bacteria; Pseudomonadati; Pseudomonadota; Betaproteobacteria; Burkholderiales; Comamonadaceae. The record is from RNAcentral.